This is an RNA transcript of Gorilla gorilla gorilla (western lowland gorilla), 3373 nucleotides long. It is a transcript of the gene named large ribosomal subunit protein eL21-like, with no coding region annotated. NCBI's taxonomy places the organism in Eukaryota, Metazoa, Chordata, Mammalia, Primates, Hominidae. The record is from RefSeq and is a predicted model, not a curated record. The transcript is spliced from 4 exons.
CCGCCCGCCCCCCGAUCACGGGCUUCGGCCACGCCCUCUUCCGGUCACGUGACGGUGCGCGGAGGCGGCGGUGGAGUUGCUUCCCCUGCUAGGCGGGCUCGAACCGGGCGGGAGUCACUGUCCACCUUGCUUCGCCAGGGUGUUAUCGCCAGCCAGUCCCCUUCCGCAUGACCAAGGGCAGCCUCAGGAAGCGAGCCCACCACCGUCGGCCCGGCGCCUGUUGAUCGGCCAGGCCUUCUGGGCCGGUCGUACCGGGCCCUUCCUAACCUGAGGAGAUUGCAUAGUAGGGCUCCCUGGUCUGGUCAGGGCUCAGUUAGGACCCCUCUCCAGCCUUAGGCUUGGUGAAAGCUUUAGCGAAACAGAAAAAAGAACGCAUCGUGGUGUAGAGUGUAUGGCCUAAGAAGCAUUCGCUCCACUCAAAAAAAAGAAAGUCCUAAUGCAAGUAAUCGAAAGUGAAGAUGUUGCAAAACAAAUAAUGACAGCUGAAUUGAUGAUAUGAUGACAGGCUCAUCCCUCCAUUGUAAACUAUGUUUCUUCAUCUGUAAAUGAAAGCAUAGGAAGACUUUUAAAAAGUCUUUCCUAUUCCUAUACCCACUAAAAGGAACUGAAAGAAGCUAAUUAUAGAAGGAAACUGUCUACAGUGAAACUAAGAAAGGCUCUAACCUCAUGCUACUAACUCAUCAACAUCAUCCACAAAGAUGAUCAUCCACAAAGAACAUCACGUGAAGUGACCUAAAAGAGAAGCAGCGUUCUGAUGCAGGACUCUCUUGCUCCUGGACACAAUGAAAACUAGAGAUAAAACUGAAGCACUUCUAAUUCUAUCCAGUUUAGAGGAACGAAGCCUUCAAAGAAAGGGUGGGCGUCAGGAAAGACAGCAAACAUUCUACUUUGAAACAUUCCCCUGUUUAAAUUAUCUCCAAGAGGCUAUAUCUCCAGAAGUCCUACUUAGGUUGGAUUUGAGGAGAGAUAUUUGUUAGAAGGAGGGCCUUAAAGCUGAUUUUGCAAAGUACUUUACAUCAGACUGAGUGAAUGUCAAAGGUCAAUAUCAAAGAACUGGGGAGAGGGCACUAAUAAAAUUAUGGAGCCAACAGUCCCCAGGUACCCCCUGGCUCCGCCAUAGAUGGAAAUAAUGGGACAGGAGGAGGAAGCCUUCAACAAAGGAGAAACUGUUUUCUUCUUUGUAGAAACCACUUGGAGGGCAGUCAUUGGGAAAACUCUGAAAGGCCACUGAAGCCCCAAGCUCAAAUCAGCUGACAGCUGUGCAGCCCUUUGUGUCUCAGUGUCCCUAGUGUGACAAGACGAGGGGAACUUGAGGCCGCAGAAAUCCAGCAGUUAACCCAUCUCAUAGUGGGGAGGAGUGAGACCUACCAGAGGGAAUAGAAAUGUGUCAUGCCCAAUUAUUGAGGGAGCCCACAUCGGCUACAAACACAGGCCUUUCUUUAUAAUAAGAGCAGGGGAAAAUUCCCAGUAGACUGGAGAAAAAUGAAGAAUCAGGAAAGAGGUCAAGCCAGGCGAUCAGCAAAUGGCUUCCUGUGAAAUAGAUCUGGGGCAUCAAACAGCAGAGAACUGUAAACAAAAUGUUGAACUCUAAAUGAUCUCUAAAUCUCAUUCCAACUCUAAUAUCUCGAGGAUCGGUGCAAAAGAAAUCUUUAUCACAAAUCUUGAUACUUAUAGAAACACAGAUUUAAGUGGAAAAGAAUGAAGGUGGUAAGCGAGGACUUCAUGGUGAUUCUGAGGGGGGCUUUGAGUACUUGCAAACACUUUGGAUUCAAGGGUUUUGCUAUCAUUGAUUUUACCUGCAUUGUGAAGGCUCUCCUAGCAGGUUGCAGAGCUGUCCAAAGAGGAGCACAACUCACUCUCUGUGGCCUACAAAAACAUUUUUGAAGGCUACAGGUCCACCUGGAGGGUCUCUUGAGCAUUGAGCAGAAAAACCAACACCUCUGACAAGAAGUUGCAGCUGAUCAAGAAGUAUUGGGAGUGAGCUUCACAUCACUGAGAAAAAACAAAAAACAAACCAAAAAACAACAGAAAACUAUCAGGAGAAAGUCAAGUCUGAACUGAGAUCCAUAUGCAUUACUGUCCUGCAAUUUUUGGAUAACUAUUUACUAUCCAAUGCAACUAAUCUAGCGAGUACGAUCUUUUAUCAAAAAUAAAGGGAGAUUACUUCCAGUACCUUCGUUGCACGUGGUGAUGGUUGAAACAAAUGAUAGAUAAUUCCCAAAGAGCUUCCUAAGAGGCAUUUGAUAUAGUAAAGAGAUGUAAUCCAUAUACAUGUCUUAACAUUUCUGUACUUUACUAUGAGAUCCUUAAUAACCCAGAGCUUGCCUGCGAACUGACUAAAACCACUUUUGAUGAGGCCAUAGAAGAACUUGAUACACUGAGUGAAGAUUCAAAGACAGCACCCUUAUCAUGCAGUUGCUUAUAGAGACAACCUAACAUUAUGGCCAUUAGACAGUGCAAGAGAAAAAUGUGAUGUGGCAGCCAAGAGACAGAAAAGUAAAUGCAUACAAGGCGUAAUCUUUCUUCCCUUCAAGAAACUUUUGUACACAUCUCCAUUGCCUUUUCCACUUGGAUUUCCUGUAGCAAAGAAACCCAUUCAUGAUGGCUGGGCGCGGUGGCUCACGCCUAUAAUCCCAGCACUUUGGGAGGCUGAGGCAGGCCGAUCACGAGGUCAGGAGUUUGAGACCAGCCUGGCCAACAUGGUGAAACCCCGUCUCUUCUAAAACUACAAAAAUUAGCUGGGUGCGGUGGCAGGCACCUGUAAUCCCAGCUGCUCGGUAGGCUGAGGCAGGAGAAUCGCUUGAACCAAGGCAGCAGAGGUUACAGUGAGCUGAGAUCACGCCACUGCACUCCAGCCUGGGCGACAGAGUGAGACUCUAUCUCAAAAAAAAAAAAAAAAAAGAAAUUCAUUCAUGCGUAUGGGAUCAACCCAUUUACAGUCUUUUCACAAUGCAGCUUUGGGAAAAUUCCAUUUCUUUCGUUUGUCCUGGCCCUCCUGGUGUACAGUUACUGCUAUAGAAAAGUAUUACUGGCUUCAUUUCAUAUAAAAUAUUAGUAACUUCCACUUAUAUAGUGGACUAAAAAUGUACUUGAUAUUUAAGUAAUCUGAACUAAUUCUGCAAGCAAUUAUGUUUUGUACUCCCCUAAAGAUCUGAAAAUACAGUUAAUUACAAUUCGAGAGUAUUCCCUAUGUAACUUCUUGAUUUCUUUAUUCCCUCCCUUACUCUUCUUCAAGGGUUUCCUUUCGGUAUGGAACUUUUCUGGCCUGGGGGGAAAUUGAAAUGUCUCCUAUAUAAUAGUUUAUGGAGGUCACGUAUAUCCAUAACAACAAGGUUUUCAUUUGCUACUGUUUAAGUUGACAACUUCCCUUCCC